Long non-coding RNA from Equus asinus (donkey), 329 nucleotides. NCBI's taxonomy places the organism in Eukaryota, Metazoa, Chordata, Mammalia, Perissodactyla, Equidae. The record is from Ensembl.
GGUCAUUGGACAGUCUAAUAAUGUGAUUUAUGACAGAGGCUUUGGGACACACCAUGUGAGUUCCAACCUCCAGAAGGGGCCGGAGACCAAAGGUCAGCCAUGUGGGCCAUAUGUGAUCAAGCUCCAGUAAAAACUCUGGACACCAAAGGCUUGGUCAUAGUGGAAAGUGUGGAGCUGCCAGGAGAGAGGAGGGGUUGCAUCAUAUGGUGACAAAAGAAUGAAUCCCACCCAGAGGAAGCAGAGCCAAGAAAUGGAUCCCUGUUGUUUGAGUCCUGGAUCAAAUCGUGCCUGGAUCCCCAGUGAGCCAAUAAAUUUUCCUUAUUGCUUCA